AGGGUUUGAUUAUGGCUCAGAUUGAACGCUGGCGGCAGGCCUAACACAUGCAAGUCGAGCGGUAGCACAGAGAGCUUGCUCUCGGGUGACGAGCGGCGGACGGGUGAGUAAUGUCUGGGAAACUGCCUGAUGGAGGGGGAUAACUACUGGAAACGGUAGCUAAUACCGCAUAACGUCGCAAGACCAAAGUGGGGGACCUUCGGGCCUCAUGCCAUCAGAUGUGCCCAGAUGGGAUUAGCUAGUAGGUGGGGUAACGGCUCACCUAGGCGACGAUCCCUAGCUGGUCUGAGAGGAUGACCAGCCACACUGGAACUGAGACACGGUCCAG
Molecule: ribosomal RNA, 328 nt
Filed under: uncultured bacterium
Lineage: Bacteria
Description: bacterial SSU rRNA
Rfam family: Bacterial small subunit ribosomal RNA
Source: RNAcentral